GCCUGGGUGGCUCAGUCGGUGAAGUGUCUGAUUUCGGCUCAGGUUAUGAUCUCGCAGUUUGUGAGGUCGAGCCCCGCCUCGGGCU
RNAcentral lists this transfer RNA (85 nucleotides) under Felis catus (domestic cat). It matches the Rfam family "tRNA". From Rfam's summary of the family: Transfer RNA (tRNA) molecules are approximately 80 nucleotides in length. Their secondary structure includes four short double-helical elements and three loops (D, anti-codon, and T loops). The record is from Rfam by way of RNAcentral. Lineage: Eukaryota; Metazoa; Chordata; Mammalia; Carnivora; Felidae.